RNAcentral lists this unclassified non-coding RNA (449 nucleotides) under Fusarium solani. RNAcentral describes it as "sequence contains 18S rRNA gene, ITS1, 5.8S rRNA gene, ITS2, 28S rRNA gene". The stretch from base 123 to 276 matches the Rfam family "5.8S ribosomal RNA". Lineage: Eukaryota; Fungi; Ascomycota; Sordariomycetes; Hypocreales; Nectriaceae. The record is from RNAcentral.
AACAUACCUAAACGUUGCUUCGGCGGGAACAGACGGCCCUGUGAAACGGGCCGCCCCCGCCAGAGGACCCCUAACUCUGUUUCUAUAAUGUUUCUUCUGAGUAAAACAAGCAAAUAAAUUAAAACUUUCAACAACGGAUCUCUUGGCUCUGGCAUCGAUGAAGAACGCAGCGAAAUGCGAUAAGUAAUGUGAAUUGCAGAAUUCAGUGAAUCAUCGAAUCUUUGAACGCACAUUGCGCCCGCCAGUAUUCUGGCGGGCAUGCCUGUUCGAGCGUCAUUACAACCCUCAGGCCCCCGGGCCUGGCGUUGGGGAUCGGCGGAGCCCCCCGUGGGCACACGCCGUCCCCCAAAUACAGUGGCGGUCCCGCCGCAGCUUCCAUCGCGUAGUAGCUAACACCUCGCGACUGGAGAGCGGCGCGGCCACGCCGUAAAACACCCAACUCUUCUGAA